AUCAACGGCGGAGCGGUGUCGGCGAGCAGGCAAACGGUGCCACUGCACGAAGAGGUGUUCAGCGAAGUAUACUUUUUAGAUUUCGGGUGCGAGCGUGGCACGCGGGAGAAGGGAGAGGCCGCGUUGAAGCAGGCAGUCGAGGUCCAUCCGAACAAUAUCACGCUUGAGCUGAGAGUCUGGUAGCUUGUUGCCAGCGAAACAGCCGAUUCCAAUCAGGUGCAGCAAGAGAAACGGCGCAGUGCAACACAGGAGGACGGAACCACCAUCUUGAGAAAGUCGAGACACACCCAAACUACCUGGAGAUUCGUCAAUCAGCAAAACAUGGCCACGUUGUGGCAAGUACUAAAAUUAUGCAGUUAUUUUAUUGGUGACAAUAUCUUAUUUGAACUAUUUUGUAAUCCCUUAUCAAUUCAAGAUCUUAUUAGAACCGCUUUUGCAAUCUUUUAUUGAUGUAAGAUCAGGCACACCCAAACUACCUUAAGAUGUUGUAAUGCAGUUAUUUUAUUUAAACUAUUUGUAAUGUAUUUUGGUCAAAUUUAGGAUCUACUUGUUGGAAUGAUGAUGCUACAGUACCUUACUAAGCUAUCCAUAUUGUUAU
This is a long non-coding RNA of Brachypodium distachyon (stiff brome), 598 nucleotides long. RefSeq lists it as uncharacterized. The record is from RefSeq and is a predicted model, not a curated record. NCBI's taxonomy places the organism in Eukaryota, Viridiplantae, Streptophyta, Magnoliopsida, Poales, Poaceae. The transcript is spliced from 3 exons.